This 253-nucleotide unclassified non-coding RNA is filed under the name Micarea sp. Its description in RNAcentral is "partial contains 5.8S ribosomal RNA, internal transcribed spacer 2, and large subunit ribosomal RNA". Lineage: Eukaryota; Fungi; Ascomycota; Lecanoromycetes; Lecanorales; Micareaceae. The record is from RNAcentral.
AACGCACAUUGCGCCCUUGGUAUUCCAAAGGGCAUGCCUGUCCGAGCGUCAUUAUCAACCAUCAAGCCUGGCUUGUCGUUGGGCCUGCGUCGUCGUUUCACCGGCGACGGGCCCGAAAGAUAAUGACGGUGUCGUGUCUGACCCCCGAUGCAACGAGCCUCGCGGCAUGCAUUGUAGGCGUCACGGCGCCGGUCGAACCCCUUAUUAUUCAAAGGUUGACCUCGGAUCAGGUAGGAAUACCCGCUGAACUUAA